Molecule: long non-coding RNA, 279 nt
Filed under: Sorghum bicolor (sorghum)
Lineage: Eukaryota; Viridiplantae; Streptophyta; Magnoliopsida; Poales; Poaceae
Description: long non-coding RNA (SBIC_LNC001855)
Source: RNAcentral
UGUCUUUUUCUUUUUUAUUUAUUUCAGCUGAAUAUUUUUAAAAUCAUAGUAAAUCACAUAAAAUUCAUAAAAUAGUAAAUCUGAUUUGGUUGGACUCCAGGUAAGUAGAUCUACAUAGUGAACGUAUAACAUGGUAUGAUUUAGUACAAAGUUUUGUUGUAGGUUUAGAUAUGUGUUUUUCUACAAUUAAUUAGAAUAAUUGAUAGCUACAGUUUCUAUGAUUCAAUUGUGGUGAAUUUUUUUUUAUGUUGGACUAAUUAUUGUAUGUUUAAACUGUGG